GGUGAUAACUUCCUUACAAGAAGAAACACGUGAAGCCUAGCAGUCACCAUUUCGUUUAUUCCAUAUGAUUGCUUAAGUUUUCAAGUGGGCAGCAUUCUAUUUCAAGGCCAUUCUGUUGCAAAACUUUGCUAUGUGGUUGUAACAUAACUGUGUCUGUUGUAAACCAAAGAGGACAGGGGGAAAAAAAGAAGAACAGAUCACAGGAAAAGGUACUUCGUGUAACUUUUCAUGUGAGGGUCUUAAAGUAGGUAACUGAUUAUUAAAACAAAAAUUUUAAGUUCUCUGAGCUUCUACCCUGAAGGUUUUCACUAAAGAUUAAAGUGGCCUUUCCAGAGACUCUAGCACAAAACUGGAUUAAGGACAACUAAUGGUCUAAAUAAAUGAUUGUCAUCGUUACAUGAGAACUGCAAAGACCAACACAAUAAGAACAGAUGACCAUUUACUAAAUAUCAACAAGAUACUUCUUUCAAAAACAAUACAAUGUCACAAUUGAAGCCCCAAUUUCAUCUCAUUUCCCACACGCCUCCUUCAGAGGAAGCCACUCUCCUAAAGUUUGUGUUUCCCCUUGCCGGCAGUGUUCUUUAAGCUUUGACAAUAAAAAGGGCGUCCCUGUUGUCUACCCUUGCAGGAUGCAUGUCUGGGCCAAUCAAUUUAAAAAAAAAAAAGACUCACAGUGUCUGAUUUGUUUAGCUUCGUGUUUCCCAAAUAUCCUAGCUGUAACAACAGUGCUGAGUACAUGAGAAAAGAUGACUCAUAUUUCCUGCAAGUCAGCACAGAUAUCCAUCCUUCCAAAUUAUUUGAACCUUUGGCCACUCCCAAAUAGAGUCAAAGUGUUGGAACAAUUUAUGAGCAUUUGUUUCAUUUGUUGAGAACAAUUCUAGUACAUCUGUAAUAAAGAU
Bubalus bubalis (water buffalo) is the source of this 899-nucleotide long non-coding RNA. RefSeq lists it as uncharacterized. The record is from RefSeq and is a predicted model, not a curated record. The transcript is spliced from 3 exons. Lineage: Eukaryota; Metazoa; Chordata; Mammalia; Artiodactyla; Bovidae.